UCCCUGGUCUCUCAGAGGUUAAAGUGUCUGCCUCCAAUGCAGGAGACCCAGGUUCGAUCCUGGGUUGGGAA
Molecule: transfer RNA, 71 nt
Filed under: Bos taurus (domestic cattle)
Lineage: Eukaryota; Metazoa; Chordata; Mammalia; Artiodactyla; Bovidae
Also listed under: 1 other name
Rfam family: tRNA
About the family: Transfer RNA (tRNA) molecules are approximately 80 nucleotides in length. Their secondary structure includes four short double-helical elements and three loops (D, anti-codon, and T loops). Further hydrogen bonds mediate the characteristic L-shaped molecular structure. tRNAs have two regions of fundamental functional importance: the anti-codon, which is responsible for specific mRNA codon recognition, and the 3' end, to which the tRNAs corresponding amino acid is attached (by aminoacyl-tRNA synthetases). tRNAs cope with the degeneracy of the genetic code in two manners: having more than one tRNA (with a specific anti-codon) for a particular amino acid; and 'wobble' base-pairing, i.e. permitting non-standard base-pairing at the 3rd anti-codon position.
Source: Rfam by way of RNAcentral